CCUACGGGGUGCAGCAGUAGGGAAUAUUGCUCAAUGGGGGAAACCCUGAAGCAGCAACGCCGCGUGGAGGAUGAAGGUUUUCGGAUUGUAAACUCCUUUUGUUAGAGAAGAUAAUGACGGUAUCUAACGAAUAAGCACCGGCUAACUCCGUGCCAGCAGCCGCGGUAAUACGGAGGGUGCAAGCGUUACUCGGAAUCACUGGGCGGAAAGAGCGCGUAGGCGGGAUAGCAAGUCAGAUGUGAAAUCCUAUGGCUUAACCAUAGAACUGCAUUUGAAACUGGUAUUCUAGAGUAUGGGAGAGGUAGGUGGAAUUCUUGGUGUAGGGGUAAAAUCCGUAGAGAUCAAGAGGAAUACUCAUUGCGAAGGCGACCUGCUAGAACAUAACUGACGCUGAUGCGCGAAAGCGUGGGGAGCAAACAGGAUUAGAUACCCCUGUAGUC
Molecule: ribosomal RNA, 440 nt
Filed under: uncultured bacterium
Lineage: Bacteria
Description: partial 16S ribosomal RNA
Rfam family: Bacterial small subunit ribosomal RNA
Source: RNAcentral